RNAcentral lists this ribosomal RNA (425 nucleotides) under uncultured bacterium. Its description in RNAcentral is "bacterial SSU rRNA". It matches the Rfam family "Bacterial small subunit ribosomal RNA", at positions 354 to 796 of the family's 1533-position model. The record is from RNAcentral.
GUGGGGAAUAUUGGACAAUGGGCGCAAGCCUGAUCCAGCCAUGCCGCGUGAGUGAUGAAGGCCUUAGGGUUGUAAAGCUCUUUCAGUAGGGAAGAUAAUGACGGUACCUACAGAAGAAGCCCCGGCUAACUUCGUGCCAGCAGCCGCGGUAAUACGAAGGGGGCUAGCGUUGUUCGGAUUUACUGGGCGUAAAGCGCACGUAGGCGGAUUGGUCAGUUAGAGGUGAAAUCCUGGAGCUCAACUCCAGAACUGCCUUUAAUACUGCCAGUCUAGAGUCCAGAAGAGGUGAGUGGAACUCCUAGUGUAGAGGUGGAAUUCGUAGAUAUUAGGAAGAACACCAGUGGCGAAGGCGGCUCACUGGUCUGGUACUGACGCUGAGGUGCGAAAGCGUGGGGAGCAAACAGGAUUAGAAACCCGUGUAGUCC